UUUGAUUUAUUUGUAUUUGUAUUUAUUUAUUUUAUUAUAUAUAUUUUUUAUUUAUUUUAUUUUUUAUAAUUACUGAGAAGCCAAAUACAGCUGAAAGCUAUGAGUUAGCUACUCAUGGUGUGGUUCAUUCGUGUAUCUCAAAGCAGGAUUUACUUUCCUUUCCUAGUUCUUGGUAUUUCCUUGACUAGCUUUCUAAAUAUCCCAGUGGAAAAGACCCCCUUACCUAAAGCCACCUAUGUCAGAUAUUCACAAGUUUUUUAUUAGAAUGCUUUCCAUAAUGUCUCUUAUUCAUUUGCUAAAAUUUAAAUUUAAGGAUUCUUCUACCAAAUGAAAAUGGUGAUCAGAUUAUUCUCUGCUGUGUUUGAAAAUAAUUGCCAUGUACUCUAAAGUUUUUCCUUUGUCCUAGGCCAAAGGGUCUCUAUUUUUAAAAUCUUUCAUCAUGGAUCACAUUCUCUUUGCUGCUAAUCACAUGCACUGUUUUGGGCUUUCUCCAGUUGCCCCAUGUUUCUUCCGAAGCAUAAUGCCCCAAAGGGACCAAGUUCUCUACAUGACGUUCUAAUACUGCUCAGAAGAGAAAGGCAUGAAGGCUAUACUGCUAUUUAUAAAUCAGAGCAUUAAAUUUAAUCAUUUCCACCUAAGAGCAGUACAUCAUGUAGAAUUUCAUCCAUUCUUCAUUCCACCACUGCAAUUUCUCAAGGUAAUUCUGAAUUUGAAAUGUGUCUUUCCAUACAUUCAUGUUUGCACUUCUUUUCAACUUUGUCUCACCUGCAAACUUAUUAAGGCUGCUAUCCAGAUUGUUAAUAAGAGGUUGAAUAAAGUCAACCUUUACAACUCUUUACAACCUGAACAAAGAAAGGUCCUGUAAUUUUGUUACAUAAUAGUAUAAAAAUAAAGAAAAUGGAUUUAAAAUUAUAUCCAUUAGUUAAUUAGUGUUUAUGCUAUUACUUUUCAUUUAAAGCAUUUGCAGUGUUAACUUAAUUCUAGACAUGCUAUGUAUUUGUUUCUGGGGUUUUUUUCUGUGAGUUAAAGUUUGAUUGAUUAGUUUAAUAUUUCUACCCUCCUCUUUCUCUGCUUUCUCCCUUUUCAUUAUACAAGGCAGCUGUUAUUUUUUGUCCUUUCCCUGACUUACAUCUUUUAGCCAUUUUUGACAGAUUCUCAAGUAAUUGCUAAUCUGAAUAAUUCACCCCAUUCUUAAUAUAUUCCAGGCCAAAGUCUGUCUGGUCUGGCUGACUUGAUAACAUUCCAUAAUGCUCUCCUGACCUAUUUCUUCCCUGUUUUAUAUUGGGUGUUUAACAUUUUUUCAUUAAUGUUAAUUAUGCUAGUGAGGUGUCUGCAGCUUUUUUUUUUUGGUCACGUGCAAAAAAGGAUUUUAAAUAUUCCAAUCUUCUUGCGAUCAUGAGUUAUGUCAUUUCCUUGCCUCCAGUCUCACAGUUAGGCAGGAAAAGCAAUCAUAAUUUUAUUUUCACCUUGUUAUUUUUAAUGCUUGUCUCCUUUUUAAGUGUUUCCUAGUUUUCCUAGCUCUGUGUUUGAUUUAUGCCAUAGUCUUCUGAUUGGACCAUAAACAUGCUGCUAUCUUUUUUUUUUUGUUUGUUUUAGAAUUUGAUCUGAUGUCCACUUUUCAGAUGGAACUUUGUGGGUUUAAGAUCAAAUAAAAGUUUCUGGCUUACCUAAACUAAUCUCUCUUUUGAUACUUUUCCCUUCUGAUAAGGUUAUGCUUAUGUUUUCUGCAACAAUUUAAUUACUUUUCCUUUGACUUUUUUAUUGACUUGAAUUGGUGAAUGUUGCCUACUUCAAAUCCAUGAUUGUGCCUUUUUUCUCUAUUAUCUUCCCCAAGAAUAUAUACUCUAUAAUAUCAGUCACUGUCUCCAAGUCACCUUUUUCAUCAUUCUUUUCUCAAACAGCUACUAUUCUCUGGUACAGAAACACAUCCAGAAGAGCCUCUCUUCUCUCUGUUUUUAACACAGAAAUAGAAGUGGCCACCAGUGCUUUCAGCAUAGAGCUUGUUAAUUGAUCUGUGUCCUGAUGUUUCCUUUCCUACCCAUUCUUGGGAUAGUUAACUUUCUUGUGACUCUGCUUCUGUGCAUUGGGUGUUAAAUGAUUUGUCAUUUAUUCAUAAUGAAGGAUCCCACUACAUAGCCUCUGUUCAUGUGGUUUGGUUUACUGACAGCAGCAUCUGAGUCCUCCUUUCACCAUCACCCACAGGGUUUUGAUAAGCCUAACUUUCUCCUUUGCCUGGAGUUCAGCACCAGUGCAGGGCUGUGUCCUUUAAUGUUAGAUUGUCCUACUAUGUAGUCAUCUUACUCAUAAUUCUGUUUACCAAUAAUGUCUUUUUUGUGGUCAUGUUUUAGGUAUCCUUACUCUUCUUGUUGAUUUCUUGUAUCUCCUCAUGAUUUCAACUUGGCUUGUCCUAUUCCUCCACAAUGCACACAAUUAUUUUAAUUUAAUUUGUUCAAAAUGGAUUUCUGUAUCUAAAAUGUUCACAUACAAGCAGCCAUACAGGGUGAACACAUGUUAUUUAAAACUAAAUCCAAGCAUGUAGCUUUUCCCCUGUUCUUUUUUCUUUGGAAGACUUUUUACAGGAUUUUUACAUUAUUGACUAACAGAAAGAGCAAACAGACCAACAGGGAAAAUAGAUAUUUUAUCAAAAUUCUAAGUUAUAUUGUGCUUUUAUUUUUCAUUGUUUUCUAGAGUCUAGUGGAGUUUAGAUAGCAGCCUUGAAGUAAUUUGCAAUUUCAAUAUUUAAAUGGCAGUAACAGUUACCUAAUAUUGUUUUUUUAUUUUAUUUUUAAUCACAGUUGUAGCCCUGAAGUGGAGCACCAACAGAUGUGUCAGUUCCAGUUGCCUUUGACUGUACAUGAUAACAUUCCAUCCAUCCUGAUGCGUGUAAACAGAUACUUGAAUAUCCAGCCAGCCUAAAUCUGUGACACAGCCCACAGAAAUAGCCUAUGCAGAAGUAAUCCCAUAAAAUAGUUGACACAGCCAAGAGGUGGUCCCUGUUGUGAGUUGUGCUACUUGCUGUUUAACAGGGACACUAAUGACUUUGACCCCAGAAGUUGUGCCCUAGUAAGAAACUGUCACUAAACUGCUGUUUCCCAUUUUCAUAAAUUCAAUCUUCCACUUUUAUAAUUUUGAAUUAGUAGUUUUCAGCUAUAAUUCCUAGUGCAGACAUUGCCUGACAUGAUGAGGAGGCGAGCAGCCAGGGCUGUGGACUCAGGGUUAAAGGUCUGUUUACCUCUGGCCUCACUCUCAGAUCAAUCCAUGCCUGGUCAAAGCCUCUCCAUAAGAGAGGCACUGGAGUAGUCCUGUUGCAUCCUAGAAAUUUAAUUUAAUAUAUGAAACAAGUCAUUAAUUUACCCAAGGACCGGGAAAUAUGAGGGAAGUUUGUAACUCUGGAGACAUAUCUGAUAAGAAAGUAUAACUGCUCUUACUUGUGCAGCACAGACACUGUUUAUAUUACCCUGCAGAAGAAGUGGCAGCUCAUAGCUGCCUAGAGGACUGAAGCCUUCAAGCCCCAUCCAUUUAUCUGCAAUGGAGAAAUAGCUGGAAAGGAUAGGCUGGGUCAGGCAGGCAAGGAUUACAAUAGUAAGAUUAUUGUCUUUGAUGUGUACAUAUUUCAGUGGUUUCAACAAAAUAUUGUCAUGACUGUUCAUCUACUCAUAUGUUGGGACUGCCUCAUUCAUUUUUCCUCACACCUGAUGAUUUUAAUGAAGUUUAGAGACAGGAAAACCAGAACAGUGUGGGAAGUUUUGAGUAUCUGCUGAACAGUGUAAGAGGGGCUCCAAUGCCUAGUAUUAUAUAAAGAGCCUACAUACAUCCUGACAUCUAGGAAUCAUGAGAUACAGGUGAACUCCAACCUUCUUAAUCACAUGGGAAGAGAGGGAAGAUAGAUGCUCUUCAACAUAUCCCCUGCAGUUUAUGUACAGGGGUCCACAAUUUCCAGCUCUUGUAUCAUCUAAACAUCCCAAAUUCUCUCAGAGCCCAUUUUAAGCAAUGCAUCUUGAAACAGGAGCAUCAAAACUCAGCUUUCCUUGUGGUUAUCAGUAUUCAUUGUAUUUCAUGCUUAAAUACAUUCAUGGCCAGCAAAAAUCCUUUUCUUCGUGAGUCAAAAUUGUCCUUCACCUGAAAUUACUUCCUUCCCAAUUCUUUCCCUAGGAAUAUUGAUAGUUACAUUAUUGACUCUUUGUUUUGACUUUGAUUUUAGCAAGCUGCUUUAGUUGCCACUCAGGUCAGAGACUGAUAAAAUCAACAGUCAAGUCUAAUAGGAAUGGAGAUUCACCUGGUGCUUUGCACUUUAUUUUCCUAAUAAUCCUGCUGCCGAGUUGUCCUAAAAGGAGAAUUUUCAAUUCAAUGCAAAUAUUUUUAUUUUUGCUCCUUUUUUGUUUUGAUUUGGACAAAAACAUGAACAUUUCAAAAUUUCCUGUGAAAUGUGAACUUCUAAGAAUGUAAUUCAAAAGCUGCCCACUUGAAGAUCAGUUGUCACAUUAUUCCUGCUACCCAAGGUCCUAAGCCUCUGACUUUGGUUGGAGCAGUGAAAUACAGGCAAUCGGCUGCCAUAUUAGAUCUGGCUGCUCUGAAGUCACAAAAUCUGUCAGUGUCAGUCCUGGCAUGGUCCUUUUGCUGAACCUAGUGUCAGCAAAGUGCUUGGUUUCUGGGAAGCCCCCAGAAUUCCAGCCACACCUUGGGUUCUGUUGAGGUUUCUCAGAGACUUCAAGGUCCAGAUCACAUGUUUUAGUGGGUGAAACACACUGUUCUGUGAAUUGCCUUUUUAGUGUCAUGAAUACUGCCUUAUCUCAAAGUCCCUUGCCUCAUCCGUGUUUCUGCCUGUGGUCCCUUCUUUAGAGCAAGCCACAGUCACUGUGGUGCUGCUGGAGCUGGUGAUUGCUGUCAGAAGAGAGGUUGUUGCUGCAGGGGAGGAUGAGAAGCCUUGCUACCCUGAGAGGUAGGACAGGCAGGGCCAGGAGGAGUACAUGUACAUAUGUACCUUGAUUCCCUAAGCAUUGCUGACAAAGCUGCUUUCAGUCAUCCCUUGUACUCCUCUUGUACUAAAUCCCAUCUUUUCUCUGUGGUGAAAGUAAUUUCAGUGUAACAAAAAAAAAAAUAAAACAGGACCCAGCAAUCUCAGAGGGCCAUGUAUCACCCCAUCAUGUAACACACUCUUUGGCAUAGUUUUGACCUGAGUCAGCAAGUCCUGAAUAAUGCCAGGGGGAUAGCACUGGCUGGGAACUGUUUCCAGUAGAAAGUACAGAGUUGACUAAACCACUGGAGCUGGCUCCUUGCUCUUAGACUGUCUCAGCACUGUCCCAGCAGUGUCUGAAUCCCUGGGUAUGCAACAUGGUACAUGUCAGGGCUGUGCAGCACAUUCAUGCAGUUUCACGCUAUGGAAGCACUGCUCUGGCAGACUGAAACCUAAGCCUUCACACAAUUUUAGUCACAUAAAUAAUAAUUAUACUAUACAAGUGCUGGAUGGGGGCCCAGAGGAAACUAUGGCCAAGAAGUGUGGGCAUUGCCCAUCAGUGACUGCUUCUGUUUCACUUAGUAGUACAGAUGCAGACAUGGUCAUCUGCCUACUUGAGCUGUCUCUAAUUAAUUUCCAUAACUUAAAACCUAAUAGUGUGAAAACAAAGGGUUUUUGUCAUACUCCAUCCAAACAUCUACCAGUUUUCUGUCUGUAUAACCCAACCUAAACCUCUCUUUGAGUCAAUGCACUUAGCUUUUAAAUGGUGCUUUGUAUAAACUCCUGGGAGUUUUCCUCCCAGCUAGCGAUCUGCAACCACAGCCUCCCCUCCCCCCACCCAGACACAGCUGUUGGAGAUCACAGUUCAGGAAUACAGAGCUGGAAUAAAAAUUACUAAAGCAGCAAUGCUCAUUGUCUCAAUUCCUCCUUUCAGGUGCUGCUUCAUAAAUCAAGACUUUCUGUAGUUUCUUCUAUGUAAAAGAAAAACAUUAAUAUUAAUAUUCUUUCCAAAUUUUUGCCAACCUUUUCAGAUCCCACCUUUCUCCUUUCCUGCUUUCAGCUGCACAGCUCUGCUUCAGUUCAGGUUAAUGUUUUCAGAGGCCAAGGCUUCUUAUGAUCAUUCCCAGCACACUUUUGUAACUGAGCUAUAAAUUUCAAAGAUUUUCUGGAGGAAGGCUGUGUUAUCUCGUAACUGAUCCUGUUAUUUGCCUCUGCAUCCAUGAUUGCAGUUCCUUGGACUCACAGGCUUUUCUGUUAUAGGAAAUCAGUUAACCCUUUCCUUCUUCUCCCUUAGGAUUUAUUUAUUGUCUUGAAAGUAUUUUUUUGUAUGUAUAGAAUACACCCAAUUGAAAGAUCCACCUGAAUAAGUAUGUUAGAGGAAAGGAGACAGGGAAGAUACUUGUUAAAAACCGAAGUUUAAUGCUAUUCUGAAUUGACUUGUUCUUUUACAUCAUUAAAAUAAAAUCUGUAAAUCCUUAAUGCCAGAAGAUGGUUACUGUUCUGAACUCUGCAGCUUAAAAUAUUGGCUGUUCCUUAUCUGCCAAGUUCAAGUAAGGGCCAGGCCCUUCAUGUACUCAUGAGAGCUUUGCUGCAGCAACAAAUGCAGCACCUGAACUGAGCAAAUGCAGCACCUGAAUUCAGGCAGAACAGCCACUACACAGAGGUUUUACACUCUGCAGGGAGACAUUUACUUAAUGAGAUAAAUAAUUAGAUGGGUUCUUGCUUGCCAACAUUUGAACUCUCUUUCCACAAACUACGGGGUCUGGUCUGAGAGAACCAGCUCCAAGAAUGUGCCUGGUGUAUGAUAAUCAAAGCAGGGCUGAUAGCUGCGGUGAGCUCUGAAAUCACAGGGCUGUGGAACUGGAUGGAAAACAAACAAAACUUUUGUGCCAGUUUCAUUUGCAUAAUAUCUAUCAAGUCUUCAAGUCAAUUUGUUAAUGAAUUUUUCAAACAAAAGGACUAAAUUUACAAAUACACACAAUAUUUUGUAUAGCAGUCUAAUCCCCAUCUGUCCCCAUUGGGUGGUAAUCAUCACGCAUUUUUUCCCAGCAAAAUGAAGACCAUGAUUAUUACCAUGAUAAUUGUUACAAAAGUAAAAUUUGAGUCCAGUGAGAAAAUUUGUCAUUAAACUAGACAAAAAGCAACAUUGGUGUUAAACUCUGCUUUCAUUAAUAGCAGAACAAGCUAAUGAAUGCUAUUAGCUACAGUUCAGUUACUUAUUUUCUUUUGCCAUUUUAGUCCUAGACCUUGUGGUUUUGUUAAAAUAGGAAUGAUAAACAUCUGUAGUGUCCUGGGUCACAGACUGAAAUGGCCUCUUUCAGAGCAUGAAAAGCCAAUAAAACUGCAAAAACAGGUCUAAAAAAAACCCCAGUACUGACAGAAUAAGCCUGAAGUGUGCUCACUUAGUAAUUUUUUACCUAAUUACAAUUGAUUACAACAAAUGAGAAUGACUUGGUUUUUACUGAUAGCAGUAGAGUAGAUGCACUGAAUCUCUUAGUCCUUUCUCCUGCUAUAAUGGCAUGGAUAUCUCCUGUUGUCUCAAAAUGGAGAAAAGGAACAGUUUUCCCCUCAGUAGUAAGAGAGAGAUCACUUUUCCUUCAUAUUUCCUAGACUCUUUGCAGCAUUCAGACCACUUUAUCCUGUGAGUGUUGCAUCACUGUACUCCAAAGCUGAAAUUUGAUAUGAUUGUUGUCUUUCUUACCAUUUUUAAUAUUUAAGCUCUCCUUUUUCUUCUCUUACUCAGCCUUUUGUUGUUUCUCCCUCAGAAGGCUGCCAGCUUAGUCCAUGCUUACUACCGCUUCAUGCCUUCUCUAGAGAUAAUGGAAGUUCCUCAGGAUGUUAGACAUGGAAAUUUCUGUUGCUGGUGUCAAGAGAGGACUCUUCUUUCAGAUAAGUCCCUGCCCACACUGAGUACUUUGGUAGCUAUAAAGUAUUUCUACUUCCAUUUACUUUGAACUAAAGAACAUCUUCAGUAAGGAGAACAGUGAGCUGAAAUUUCCUUUCAAUGCUUCAUUUUUUUUCUAGUAAACAACCACACUGCACCACUAAUGAUAUGCUGCCUGCUUUCUGGGUCCCCAUCCCAAGACAGCCACAGUCUGCAUUUCGUAGAUGCUGACAAGUCAGUGCAGCUGAAGCCAGCAGAUGCCAUGAGUGACUGGUGGACAAGUUCCAGUCAUCUCCAGUGAAGAAUGCAGAAAUCAUUUUGAGACAACUUCAGAGUCAACAUACUGGCAUAGAUGUGGCACCAAACAGCACCCUUCAGAUGACUGAGAUUUUUUACAUAUGAGCACAUUCUUUCUUACAAGAGUUUGCAAAUGCUUGAGUGAUACUUGUAUUAAUGUAAUAAAAGAAGUGCAAGUCCAACCAAGACAUGACUAUUUCUCUGCUAAUGCUCUCUAGUCAUCUGCAGCCAGAACUAUUGUCAUAACAAUUCUCAAAGCACUGGAACAACUGCAGCACCAAUUAAAAGAGGAAUCCUAAAGGGUUCUUGCAGUCAAUAGAGAUGAUUGCCAUAGUCUGUUAUUUAAACUCACAUUUGUCAAUCCUUUGACAUUACACCUGCUGCAUGGCAAAACACUCGAAUUCUGACAAAUUAAUAUUUUUAUGUGGUGUUUGAAAAAGGAACUUUUCAGGCUGAUAGCAGGACAAAAGAUUUUGUGUACUUAUAAUCAAAGGUAUCACUAGGAUUUUAUGAAUAAAUUAGAAUGCACACCUUGUCAUCUCCCUUUCUAUAAUUUUGAGAAUAUUGCAGAAAAGUCUUCUUGUCUAGGAGGUUAAAUGACUAUAAGCUGUAAAACAAGCUAUAGAGAAAGAGAUGAGGGCUGAUAUCACUGUCUUCUCUGCAUAACCUACACUGUGCAUAGCAUAGCUCUGUGCAGUAAAUAUUUGGUGAAAUAUAUGCAACAGGCAUCAGCAAAGUAAUUUUUUUUUUCACACAUAAGUAUUUAUAAGCCAAGAUGAUUUGCAUACAAUGUUUAAAGACAGAUUUUUUUGUAAGGUGUGCUGUGGUGACUUGGUGACUCUUUUGGUGAUACGUGUGUUUCAUUCUCUUGCCACGUGUGCCAUGGUCAGUGCUGUGCAAUGCAUGUAAGGGCCUGACUCUUCACAGGAGCAGCAGGAGAGCUGAGCUGCCCAAAGGACAAUAACUGCUGACAGUGCAAGUAAACAACAAAUGGUGUUGAUUUCCUCCUGGCUGGAAAUUUAUCAGUAGAGAGAAUACAAAAGUUGAACUGUGUCUAGCACCAUGAUAGCAGUAAGUCAGAAUAAAGCCUAGGGCUUAGGUUCCUGCCUAUGCAGGCAUGCCUGAUGCAUUCAUACCUGCAGAUUCCCCAAGUUCACAGGCACUCCUUUGGCUCUCAGUGAAGAAAUGAGGAUGUCAGCUUUGGGUGAAAGAGUUCAGAUCUCCAAAGAAGCAGAGGCUUCAUGAAGAGUUAAGCAGAACAAUCCAUCACUGCUAUGAAACCCUAAUAUACCUUAUGUUUUUUUAAGUACUUAAGGUAUUGCCUGGACAUGUUUUGGAGCUGUCUUAUACUCUCACACAACACAAAGAGCUUCAGAUUGUAUACUUGAUACUUCAAAAAGUUUUAAAAAUUAAUGUUUGUGUUUCUGCAAUAUUCAUGUUCAUAUUUGUGUGUGUUAGAAUAAGUUUCCAAGGAAACUUGCAAAUUAUUUUAAGUGGCAUGAUUUUCUUUUACUGUGCAUAUUGCUUGAAAUAUUCAUGUUAUUUUGUGCCAUGAAUUGGAUACAGAGAAGAGGCAUUCUUGAUCCUCUUAUAUAUAUAUAUAUAUAUAUUUUUUUUUUGUGUGACCCUUCUCAAAUAUGCAGCCACACUGGAGCCAAUUACUCCAAUUAUCCAAGAUUACAAGAUUAAAUUUUGCAUAUUCGUAGUCUUGGGAAGAAGAGGAGGUCAUCAGAAGGAUGCCAAAUGUUGCUUAUUAUGAGAACAGGUAACAUUUAACCUCAUGACAGUACAAAUACAAAAACAAUUGUGCAGAAAUACAAAUUAACUAAGCCAUAGUUCUAAGUGAAAGUUUCAGCUGCAGGUGGAGACACUUUUUAAUUAGAUAAAGUAAGCAAAAAACCCAGUGGUUUGAAGAUGAAGCAUGGGUUACUAUAACAUGGUUUCCUGAAAAUUCAGGUAAAAUUAAAAUAUUAUUUCCUCUAAAAUUAGGAAAUGAUAAUAUAUUUAAAUUUGUUUGACUAAUAUAUGUUGUUUCUAUGCAAAGCUAACAGAAAAGGCGUUGUAGGUACCUUUGUCUAGCUUAAAAAUGAACCUAAAAAUUAAACUUGCAAUUAUACCCUUUAAUUUAUGCAUCCUUCAUCUUUGUAAUAUUCUGCCACAAUUGCAUUGCUUUCUUGAUCACUGCCAGCAGUUAGAAAUGUUCUUUUCCAGAAAUGGCAUGGACAUCUAUUUUUCUCUUCAGUCUCUUCCAUUCUUUUCUCUGGUUCUCCUAUUACAUUGUUCCUGGAUUACUUCUUAUUCCCUGAUUCACUGCAAAUAGAGUCAUGGACUUUGAGAUCCUUGGGGUCCACCUCAUCAGGGUUUUUUCUAAGUCAUUUUGUUCUUAGCAAGGCAAUAAAUGGCUAGUUUAUAUUAGCAGAUGAUAGAACUCUACAGACAGCAGCAGCUACAUAGUGCAGGAAAGUCAUCUGCAUGAAUUUAUUCUGGCAUUGCAUAUAUAGAGAGAAAAAAUUGGCAUCAGAUACUGAAAUUUCACGGAUGAGAUUUAGGCAGAAAAAUGGCUUAGUAAUCAGUGACUACUUCUUCCUCACUGGAAGCUAAUAUGUAAUAUUUCUCUACUAUCUCUACUAACUUCCUAUUCCAAAAUGGAAACAAAUAUUCAAUUUUAGUUUAGACUGAAGAGUUUGUUCUUUGCUAAAUUUUCUGCUACCCACUUGUCUCACUGCAUUUCAUUGCAUACAUUCAUUUUAAAAUUAUAUCUCAAUUUUAGUAUUUAACAAGUAAAUAGGAUUAAAAACCUUAACAAAGUACUUAAGAGAAGUCUAAGCACUGUGGUUUUCCAUUUGACUGAUGCUCCUGUUUCAGAACAGGAAUGACUUUUAAUAGCAAAAAUAGAGGAGGAUAUUGAGGAAAAAAAGUAGUUAAUAUAGUAAAUAGGAAACUCCUGAUUUUUCCAGUAGUUGUUUAUGUGACUUUGGAUCAAUCACUGCUCACUGUGCACCCCUUCCUCUGCUUAUUACAGAUCUGUAGGGCAGGGACUGCUUUCUGCUUUAUGGCUGCAGUCCCUCUGUGCCACAUUGGAUGCAGGUGGUCACUAAUGAUGGAUCUUACAGUUUGGAAUGUUUGAGUUUUCUGAGCCCAAGCACCACAGAGCAGUCAGAACCAAGGAUUUACUGGAUACCAGUUUUUCUAACUUGCUAAGGUAACUGAAGAAGCCCAUACAAGGACAUCCAAGGCACUGGCUAUUUUAGUCAUGAGAUAAAAUAAUGUCACCACUUAGCAACAAAUGCCAUAUAAGCUUGCUGAACACUGCAAGUGAAUUUCUAAUAGUUCAUUCUGUAGACUUGUAGUUAAAAUAAACCGUGAUUUUCAAUUUUGAAGCAAAUUAUUUUGCUCUGGAAAAAUUAACAUUUUUUUCUGUUAUGAGGCAAUAGCCAAAUUAUCAUAAGUGUUUAAGCUCUUAUUUUAGGCACUAAGUACCUGAUUUUUGAUUCACAAAGUAACCUGAAUACCAUAAUUUGAUACAACUAUGUUGUUGUUCAAGUAGUUAGUAAGCUCUGGGCUAAUUCUCAGUAUACUUUCCAAACCUCAGCUAAAGAAAACUGUGUGGUAAUGUAAGGAUACAUAGCUGAGUCUCUCAGAUUCUGGCUUAUACAAAGUAUAUUCCAUUUGCUAUGAUUUGUGACAAAAUUUUCAGGUCAUGUGCCUAGAGCCUCGGGAAAUGCAGGGUUUUCAGGAAUUCCAUUAGGAGAUGUACAGAUACAGUACUGGGUCUACAGAAGCUACAUAGAUUUUAUUUUUCAUCAGUUUAGCCUCA
Long non-coding RNA from Parus major (Great Tit), 11952 nucleotides. RefSeq lists it as uncharacterized. NCBI's taxonomy places the organism in Eukaryota, Metazoa, Chordata, Aves, Passeriformes, Paridae. The record is from RefSeq and is a predicted model, not a curated record. The transcript has 4 exons.